Molecule: ribosomal RNA, 264 nt
Filed under: uncultured archaeon
Lineage: Archaea
Description: partial 16S ribosomal RNA
Rfam family: Archaeal small subunit ribosomal RNA
Source: RNAcentral
AGGGUGUAAACGCUGCAGACUUGGUGUUGGGGGCCCUUUGGGGGCAUUCAGUGCCGGAGAGAAGUUGUUAAGUCUGCUACUUGGGGAGUACGUCCGCAAGGAUGAAACUUAAAGGAAUUGGCGGGGGAGGCACCGCAACGGGAGGAGCGUGCGGUUUAAUUGGAUUCAACACCGUAAAACUCACCAGGGAAGACUGUUACAUGAAGGCCGAGAUGAAGACUCUGCUAGAUUUUUCAGAGAGGAGGUGCAUGGCGGUCAGUGACU